This 260-nucleotide ribosomal RNA is filed under the name uncultured bacterium. RNAcentral's name for it is "partial 16S ribosomal RNA". It matches the Rfam family "Bacterial small subunit ribosomal RNA", at positions 94 to 354 of the family's 1533-position model. The record is from RNAcentral.
AGUGGCGAACGGGUGAGUAACGCGUGGAAAACCUGCCGUAUACUGGGGGAUAACACUUAGAAAUAGGUGCUAAUACCGCAUAAGCGCACAGCUUCGCAUGAAGCGGUGUGAAAAACUCUGGUGGUAUACGAUGGUUCCGCGUCUGAUUAGCUAGUUGGUGGGGUAAUGGCCUACCAAGGCAACGAUCAGUAGCCGGCCUGAGAGGGUGAACGGCCACAUUGGGACUGAGACACGGCCCAAACUCCUACGGGAGGCAGCAG